GCGGCGGACGGGUGAGUAACGCGUGGGUAACCUACCCUGUACACACGGAUAACAUACCGAAAGGUAUGCUAAUACGGGAUAAUAUAUUUGAGAGGCAUCUCUUAAAUAUCAAAGGUGAGCCAGUACAGGAUGGACCCGCGUCUGAUUAGUUAGUUGGUAAGGUAACGGCUUACCAAGGCGACGAUCAGUAGCCGACCUGAGAGGGUGAUCGGCCACAUUGGAACUGAGACACGGUCCAAACUCCUACGGGAGGCAGCAUG
RNAcentral lists this ribosomal RNA (260 nucleotides) under uncultured bacterium. RNAcentral's name for it is "partial 16S ribosomal RNA". It matches the Rfam family "Bacterial small subunit ribosomal RNA", at positions 95 to 353 of the family's 1533-position model. The record is from RNAcentral.